ACUUAGAUAGCUUAUUUUAUUAAAGUAUAAUAUUGAAGAUAUUAGGAAAAUUAUUUAAAUUUUUAAGUA
RNAcentral lists this transfer RNA (69 nucleotides) under Apsilochorema hwangi. Its description in RNAcentral is "tRNA-Phe". The record is from RNAcentral. Lineage: Eukaryota; Metazoa; Arthropoda; Insecta; Trichoptera; Hydrobiosidae.